Small nuclear RNA from Bombina bombina (fire-bellied toad), 117 nucleotides. RefSeq annotates it as U5 spliceosomal RNA. Lineage: Eukaryota; Metazoa; Chordata; Amphibia; Anura; Bombinatoridae. The record is from RefSeq and is a predicted model, not a curated record. The transcript has a single exon.
AUACUCUGGUUUCUCUUCAGAGCAAAUAAAUCUUUCACCUUUUUCUAAAGAUUUCCGUGGAGAGGAACAACAAUGGCCCAGAUUACGAUUUUUGCGUUAGAGGCUAUGUGGUGCUAA